AAUUUGAAAUCUGGCCCUUCCGGGGUCCGAGUUGUAAUUUGUAGAGAGCGCUUCGGGCGAGGUCGCGGUCUAAGUCCAUUGGAACAUGGCGUCAUAGAGGGUGAGAAUCCCGUAUGCGACCGUGGACCGAGCCCAUGUGAAGCCUCUUCGACGAGUCGAGUUGUUUGGGAAUGCAGCUCAAAACGGGUGGUAUAUUUCAUCUAAAGCUAAAUAUUGGCUGGAGACCGAUAGCGCACAAGUAGAGUGAUCGAAAGAUGAAAAGCACUUUGGAAAGAGAGUCAAACAGUACGUGAAAUUGUUGAAAGGGAAGCGCUUGCAACCAGACCUGCCCGGGGGCGAUCAGCCGCUGUUCUCAGCGGUGCACUCGUUCCCCGACCAGGCCAGCAUCGGUUCCGGCGGUCGGAUAAAGGCCUUGGGAAUGUAGCUCCCCUCGGGGAGUCUUAUAGCCCUCGGCGCAAUGCGGCCAGCCGGGACCGAGGACCGCGCUUCGGCUAGGAUGCUGGCGUAAUGGUUGUAAGCGACCC
RNAcentral lists this ribosomal RNA (524 nucleotides) under Oropogon sperlingii. RNAcentral's name for it is "eukaryotic LSU rRNA". It matches the Rfam family "Eukaryotic large subunit ribosomal RNA", at positions 112 to 650 of the family's 3401-position model. Lineage: Eukaryota; Fungi; Ascomycota; Lecanoromycetes; Lecanorales; Parmeliaceae. The record is from RNAcentral.